Long non-coding RNA from Gallus gallus (chicken), 1263 nucleotides. Lineage: Eukaryota; Metazoa; Chordata; Aves; Galliformes; Phasianidae. The record is from Ensembl.
GCUGCUGGGGCCGGUGGUGGCUGCAGCUCCUCUGGCCGUGCUGCAGCCCCCACCUUCCUUGGCAGCCCCUCCUCUGGCCGUGCUGCAGCCCCCGGAUUUUUUGGCAGCCCCUCUGGCCGUGCUGCAGCCCCCGGCUUCCUUCUCAGCCGCCAGCAGCCCCCAGCAGCCCCGCCUACCAGCAGGGAGAUCACGGGCUGGCAGCCCAGAGCGGGCAGUGUGAGGGACGGGAGGAGAGCAGCCCCGGGAGGGAUCAGGGGCCAGUAGAAGCAGAUGAUGAAGAAGAGGAUAUAGAGAUAGUUGUUGUAUAGAUAGUAAGAGGGUAUGAUGAUAGUUGAUAGCGACGUAGAUUAGUUGAUAGCGACGUAGAUUAGUUGAUAGCGACGUUGAUAGCUGAUGGUUGUAUACAGGUAGCGAACAGAUAGCAGAUAGCUAGGUGGGUUAUUGGUAGAGAGGUAGUUUGUGGAUAGCAAGGUAGUUAGCAGCAAGCAAGAGUUAGUAGCAAUGUAGUUAGAUCAUAGCCAGAUAGCUGAUAGGGGGAUGCAGGAUAGAAAGAUGGGUGACUGGGAGAUAGUUAAUUUAUAGACUGCAAUAGUGAAAGUUGCUGAAAAGAACUUUGUCUCUGUUUCAGAUGAGCCACUGCGCCCUGGGACACCACUCUCCCCUCAGUACGAUGAAGACCAACGCCUGAUGCUGCUCCAUCACCAGCAGAAGAACAGCAGCUCUGCAGAGACCCGUCCUGCCAGCAGAGCAUCACGGAGAAGAAGACGCGCCUUCUGCUCACAGGAAGAGGAGUCCUUGCACAUCACUUGACCCCCUCCUCCAGGAGGAAGCAGGAUCAGCGCCCGGUGCUGCCCCAGCACCGGCAGAAGAACAGCGGCUCUUGGAAGCGUGACCUGCUGGGAGAUCGUCGGGGAGAAGAGGACGCGCCUUCUGCGCCGAGGGAGUCUUCUCCUGUCAUCCGAUCUUCAAUGAGACGAUGCUCAGCUGCUCCGGAACAGCCACGGAGGAAACGGACGGAAGAGGAGAGCCCAGAUGACUGCGCCCGUGUGACCUUACAUACAAAGACUGAAUGCAGAGACUGAGCCAGCAAACAAUGGAGUAGAUAGCAUAGAGAGUUAGUUAACACUAAAAUGUAUUAGCAUAGCAUAGUGCAGUUGUCAAAUAGCUUUGUAAAUAAAUUCACUUUGUUCGUAUCCUUAUCUUGUGUUGUGUAAAAUGAUGGGGAUGGGUAGUCUGAUACUUCAGGAAAUAAAUGAUUUGGAA